GACGAACGCUGGCGGCGUGCUUAACACAUGCAAGUCGAACGGAAAGGCCCGGCUUUUGUGGGGUGCUCGAUUGGCGAACGGGUGAGUAACACGUGAGUAACCUGCCCUUGACUUUGGGGUAACUUCAGGAAACUGGGGCGAAUACCGGAUAGGAGCUCCUGCUGCAUGGUGGGGGUUGGAAAGUUUCGGCGGUGGGGGAUGGACUCGCGGGUUAUCAGCUGGUUGGUGGAGUAGUGGCUUACCAAGGCUUUGACGGGUAGCCGGCCUGAGAGGGUGACCGGCCACAUUGGGACUGAGAGACGGCGCAGAAUCGUACGGGCGGCAGCAGUCGGGAGUAUGGCACAGUGGGCGGAAGCCUGAUGCGGAAGCGCCGCGUGCGGGAUGACGGGCUUCGGGUUGUAAACCGAUUUCGACGGUGACGAAGCGGGAGUGACGGUAAUGGGUCAAGAAGCACCGGCUAACUACGUG
RNAcentral lists this ribosomal RNA (468 nucleotides) under uncultured bacterium. RNAcentral's name for it is "partial 16S ribosomal RNA". It matches the Rfam family "Bacterial small subunit ribosomal RNA", at positions 28 to 507 of the family's 1533-position model. The record is from RNAcentral.